CGAACGCUGGCGGCGUGCUUAACACAUGCAAGUCGAACGGAAAGGCCCUGCUUUUGUGGGGUGCUCGAGUGGCGAACGGGUGAGUAACACGUGAGUAACCUGCCCUUGACUUUGGGAUAACUUCAGGAAACUGGGGCUAAUACCGGAUAGGAGCUCCUGCUGCAUGGUGGGGGUUGGAAAGUUUCGGCGGUUGGGGAUGGACUCGCGGCUUAUCAGCUUGUUGGUGGGGUAGUGGCUUACCAAGGCUUUGACGGGUAGCCGGCCUGAGAGGGUGACCGGCCACAUUGGGACUGAGAUACGGCCCAGACUCCUACGGGAGGCAGCAGUGGGGAAUAUUGCACAAUGGGCGGAAGCCUGAUGCAGCAACGCCGCGUGCGGGAUGACGGCCUUCGGGUUGUAAACCGCUUUCGCCUGUGACGAAGCGUGAGUGACGGUAAUGGGUAAAGAAGCACCGGCUAACUACGUGCCAGCAGCCGCGGUGAUACGUAGGGUGCGAGCGUUGUCCGGAUUUAUUGGGCGUAAAGGGCUCGUAGGUGGUUGAUCGCGUCGGAAGUGUAAUCUUGGGGCUUAACCCUGAGCGUGCUUUCGAUACGGGUUGACUUGAGGAAGGUAGGGGAGAAUGGAAUUCCUGGUGGAGCGGUGGAAUGCGCAGAUAUCAGGAGGAACACCAGUGGCGAAGGCGGUUCUCUGGGCCUUUCCUGACGCUGAGGAGCGAAAGCGUGGGGAGCGAACAGGCUUAGAUACCCUGGUAGUCCACGCUGUAAACGGUGGGUACUAGGUGUGGGGUCCAUUCCACGGGUUCCGUGCCGUAGCUAACGCUUUAAGUACCCCGCCUGGGGAGUACGGCCGCAAGGCUAAAACUCAAAGGAAUUGACGGGGCCCCGCACAAGCGGCGGAGCAUGCGGAUUAAUUCGAUGCAACGCGUAGAACCUUACCUGGGUUUGACAUGGAUCGGGAGUGCUCAGAGAUGGGUGUGCCUCUUUUGGGGUCGGUUCACAGGUGGUGCAUGGCUGUCGUCAGCUCGUGUCGUGAGAUGUUGGGUUAAGUCCCGCAACGAGCGCAACCCUUGUUCACUGUUGCCAGCACGUUAUGGUGGGGACUCAGUGGAGACCGCCGGGGUCAACUCGGAGGAAGGUGGGGAUGACGUCAAGUCAUCAUGCCCCUUAUGUCCAGGGCUUCACGCAUGCUACAAUGGCUGGUACAGAGAGUGGCGAGCCUGUGAGGGUGAGCGAAUCUCGGAAAGCCGGUCUCAGUUCGGAUUGGGGUCUGCAACUCGACCUCAUGAAGUCGGAGUCGCUAGUAAUCGCAGAUCAGCAACGCUGCGGUGAAUACGUUCCCGGGGCUUGUACACACCGCCCGUCAAGUCAUGAAAGUUGGUAACACCCGAAGCCGGUGGCCUAACCGUUGUGGGGGAGCCGUCGAAGGUGGGACUGGUGAUU
Molecule: ribosomal RNA, 1439 nt
Filed under: uncultured organism
Description: 16S ribosomal RNA
Rfam family: Bacterial small subunit ribosomal RNA
Source: RNAcentral